This 341-nucleotide ribosomal RNA is filed under the name uncultured archaeon. RNAcentral's name for it is "partial 16S ribosomal RNA". It matches the Rfam family "Archaeal small subunit ribosomal RNA", at positions 133 to 475 of the family's 1478-position model. The record is from RNAcentral.
UGGAAAACUGGGGAUAAUACCCGAUAGAUCUCGGCUGCUGGAAUGCACCGAGUUCUACAGCUCCGGCGCUCAAGGAUGGUUCUGCGGCCUAUCAGGUAGUAGUGGGUGUAGCGUACCUACUAGCCUACGACGGGUACGGGUUGUGAGAGCAAGAGCCCGGAGAUGGAUUCUGAGACACGAAUCCAGGCCCUACGGGGUGCAGCAGGCGCGAAAACUUUACAAUGCUGGAAACAGCGAUAAGGGGACCUCGAGUGCCAGGUUACAAAUCUGGCUGUCGUGAUGCCUAAAAAGCAUUGCAUAGCAAGGGCCGGGCAAGACCGGUGCCAGCCGCCGCGGUAACA